AUUGAACGCUGGCGGCAGGCCUAACUCAUGCAAGUCGAGCGGAUGAAGGGAGCUUGCUCCUGGAUUCAGCGGCGGACGGGUGAGUAAUGCCUAGGAAUCUGCCUGGUAGUGGGGGAUAACAUCCGGAAACGGGCGCUAAUACCGCAUACGUCCUGAGGGAGAAAGUGGGGGAUCUUCGGACCUCACGCUAUCAGAUGAGCCUAGGUCGGAUUAGCUAGUUGGUGGGGUAAAGGCCUACCAAGGCGACGAUCCGUAACUGGUCUGAGAGGAUGAUCAGUCACACUGGAACUGAGACACGGUCCAGACUCCUACGGGAGGCAGCAGUGGGGAAUAUUGGACAAUGGGCGAAAGCCUGAUCCAGCCAUGCCGCGUGUGUGAAGAAGGUCUUCGGAUUGUAAAGCACUUUAAGUUGGGAGGAAGGGCAGUAAGUUAAUACCUUGCUGUUUUGACGUUACCAACAGAAUAAGCACCGGCUAACUUCGUG
RNAcentral lists this ribosomal RNA (484 nucleotides) under uncultured bacterium. RNAcentral describes it as "partial 16S ribosomal RNA". It matches the Rfam family "Bacterial small subunit ribosomal RNA", at positions 30 to 507 of the family's 1533-position model. The record is from RNAcentral.